Molecule: ribosomal RNA, 933 nt
Filed under: Triticum aestivum (bread wheat)
Lineage: Eukaryota; Viridiplantae; Streptophyta; Magnoliopsida; Poales; Poaceae
Description: partial small subunit ribosomal RNA
Source: RNAcentral
AUGGCGCCGGAGAGUGAGUUGGCGCUGAGGUUGAGGUACACGAGCGAGGAGCCGGAGCGAGCGGCGGGGAUCUCCCUGGUGAGCGCGUUGGUGUUGAGGUCGAUCGUCCAGAGACGGUGCAAGGAGAGAAGCUUCGCCGGGGAUGGCGCCCGCGAGGAGGUUGAAGGCGAGGACGAGCAUGGUGACGGCGGAGCACGCGGCGAGCGCGACGGGAACGGCGCCCGUGAGGUUGUUUCAGCUGAGGUCGAGCGCGGCGAGCGCCGGGAGCGCACAGAGGCGCGACGCGGACGCGGCGAGCGCGCCGGAGAGCCCUGUCCCGGAGAGGCACGGAUCGCCGGCUGCAAUAGCGACCGGCUCCCCAUCUACGAGACCGGCCUUGACGACGUCGCCAAGCAGUGCCGCGGCCGCGGCCGCAACCUCUUCUUCAGCACCGACGGCACCGCCGUGAAGGUCCUCAAGGAUGUCUACGUGAAGGUCCUCAAGGACGUCCAUGGAGGCAGGCCGCGGGUCAUCGGCAUCAACGACUGCAAGAGCCGCUUCAUCUACCACGUCGUCUCCUCCAUGUUCAACACCGUCGCCGUGAAGAAGGUGGCCAUGCUAGGUUCGCCUUCAAGAAGGAUACCGGUGACACCCGCGAGACACCGUUUGACUGGGACCACGCGCACCCUCGCCACCUGCCGCCGGUGGGCCGUGGGCGAGCCCGCCGGGCAGCCCGUCACCGUCACGUCGGACGCGUACGAGGCCGUCCGCGAUGCGCACGCCGUCUGCAUCCUGACCGAGUGGGAUGAGUUCAGGAGCCUCGACUGCUGGCGCAUGUACAACGUGAUGCAGAAGCCGGCUUUCGUCUUCGCCGUCGCAGGAUUCAUCAUCUAUGCAAUUGGCAAGCCGCUUGACCAAGCCCAGUGGCUCAAGGUCAUGCCAGCCGUCGCCUGA